Ascosphaera acerosa is the source of this 93-nucleotide non-coding RNA. The record is from the annotation of a GenBank genome assembly. NCBI's taxonomy places the organism in Eukaryota, Fungi, Ascomycota, Eurotiomycetes, Onygenales, Ascosphaeraceae.
UCCGAGUUGGUCUAGUGGUCAUGAUUUCCGCUUGUCACUGUUCAACUCAGUUCACAAGCGCGGGAGACCGGGGUUCGAUUCCCCGAUUCGGAG